This 132-nucleotide small nucleolar RNA is filed under the name Dasypus novemcinctus (nine-banded armadillo). RNAcentral's name for it is "Small nucleolar RNA SNORA70 (ENSDNOG00000026344.1)". It matches the Rfam family "Small nucleolar RNA SNORA70". From Rfam's summary of the family: snoRNA U70 seems to be exclusive to mammals and is a member of the H/ACA class of snoRNA which contain H (ANANNA) and ACA box motifs. H/ACA box snoRNAs are involved in the conversion of uridines to pseudouridines (5-ribosyluracil) a constituent of structural RNAs (transfer, ribosomal, small nuclear, and small nucleolar). The record is from RNAcentral. Lineage: Eukaryota; Metazoa; Chordata; Mammalia; Cingulata; Dasypodidae.
CUGCAGCCAAUUAAGCUGACUGGCCCCCUCUCCCCACGGAGGCAGUGUGCAGUGCCUGCAGACAGCAGCCUCCUUGGUAGUAUACGUGGCCUGUUGCUUGUACGGGUUGCCCAAGGGACCGUGGAGACAGCC